Molecule: ribosomal RNA, 301 nt
Filed under: uncultured bacterium
Lineage: Bacteria
Description: partial 16S ribosomal RNA
Rfam family: Bacterial small subunit ribosomal RNA
Source: RNAcentral
CAGCCGCCACGGUAAAACGGAGGGUGCAAGCGUUAAUCGGAAUUACUGGGCGUAAAGCGUGCGUAGGCGGUUCGUUAAGUCUGUUGUGAAAGCCCCGGGCUCAACCUGGGAAUGGCAAUGGAUACUGGCGAGCUAGAGUGUGUCAGAGGAUGGUGGAAUUCCCGGUGUAGCGGUGAAAUGCGUAGAGAUCGGGAGGAACAUCAGUGGCGAAGGCGGCCAUCUGGGACAACACUGACGCUGAGGCACGAAAGCGUGGGGAGCAAACAGGAUUAGAUACCCCAGUAGUCCCUGUCUCUUAUAC